RNAcentral lists this ribosomal RNA (229 nucleotides) under uncultured bacterium. RNAcentral's name for it is "partial 16S ribosomal RNA". It matches the Rfam family "Bacterial small subunit ribosomal RNA", at positions 568 to 796 of the family's 1533-position model. The record is from RNAcentral.
UCCGUAGGCGGGCAAUUAAGUCAGAGGUGAAAUCCCACAGCUCAACUGUGGAACUGCCUUUGAUACCGGUUGUCUUGAGUUAUAGUGAAGUAGAUAGAAUAUGUAGUGUAGCGGUGAAAUGCAUAGAUAUUACAUAGAAUACCGAUUGCGAAGGCAGUCUACUAACUGUAUACUGACGCUAAUGGACGAAAGCGUGGGGAGCGAACAGGAUUAGAUACCCUGGUAGUCC